GAUGAAGAACGUAGCGAAAUGCGAUAAGUAAUGUGAAUUGCAGAAUUCAGUGAAUCAUCGAAUCUUUGAACGCACAUUGCGCCCGCCAGUAUUCUGGCGGGCAUGCCUGUUCGAGCGUCAUUUCAACCCUCAAGACCCCUUCGGGGGACUUGGUGUUGGGGACCGGCACAGGGGCCUGCCUGCUUGUCUUGCAGCGCCCUCGCCGCCCCCGAAAUGAAUUGGCGGCCUCGUCGCGGCCUCCCCUGCGUAGUAGCACAACCUCGCAACGGGAACGUGACGGCGGCCACUGCCGUAAAACAACCCCAAUUUUAUUAGAGUUGACCUCGAAUCAGGUAGGAAUACCCGCUGAACUUAAGCAUAGCAAUAAGCGGAGGA
RNAcentral lists this unclassified non-coding RNA (375 nucleotides) under soil metagenome. RNAcentral's name for it is "partial contains 5.8S ribosomal RNA, internal transcribed spacer 2, and large subunit ribosomal RNA". The stretch from base 1 to 120 matches the Rfam family "5.8S ribosomal RNA", at positions 35 to 154 of the family's 154-position model. The record is from RNAcentral.